Molecule: long non-coding RNA, 474 nt
Filed under: Ananas comosus (pineapple)
Lineage: Eukaryota; Viridiplantae; Streptophyta; Magnoliopsida; Poales; Bromeliaceae
Description: long non-coding RNA (ACOM_LNC005897)
Source: RNAcentral
AAAUGCUAAUCCCAAUUUAAUUUAACUUUGUACUUCAAUCAUACAAAUAAGUUAUCAAACAAAUUAUAUACAAUAUGCAAAUAUAAAUAUAUUUUCGGAUUAGCACUCAGUUAGAUUUAAUCACAAUCAAAUUGGAGAUACGUCUUAGAUUGUUAGAACAAUUAUCGCACAAAAAAUUUGAUUGUGAUUUAAAUCUAACUAAAUCUUAUUAUGAAAAUAAAUAAAUCAACUUACAGAUGGUCGCUAAAUCCAAAUAAAUACUUAAUUGAUCCGGAAGCGUGCGAGGCACUGCCCUAAGGCGUAUUCCCGUCCUUACGUGCGGGAUUAAUCAGAAAUACCGUCCCAAGAUACGACCGGAAUUCCUCCUCCUACGAGCACGAAGCGGAAGAGAUUGACGAAGACUCUUUCAACACCCGAUGACAAAGAGAUUGAUCAAAAUAAAAUAAAAUCUAAAUAAAAUUUAAACCUUUUUUU